UGAGGUCAUUUGAAUGUGAUAUCUCUCCCUCCAGUAAUUCUGUUGGCCUAGCUGUUUAGGCAGAUGUCCUUGUUCCCCCAAAGCCCCUCAAAGUGUGUCUCUCCCAAAGCUAUUUGGUUAAGAAGACAGCCUGGUUAAGAAGGAGGCCUGUUCUUCAGUCAAGGGUACAUGAAUGACAUCACUCCCUGCUAGAACCUCCAGAUGAACUUAAAAUUGCUGGCUGGUGAAUUAUAAUUAGCCCCACAAUCUUGAGCUUCUUUUCUCAUUGUU
Molecule: unclassified non-coding RNA, 270 nt
Organism: Dipodomys ordii (Ord's kangaroo rat)
Lineage: Eukaryota; Metazoa; Chordata; Mammalia; Rodentia; Heteromyidae
Gene: 7SK
Rfam family: 7SK RNA
About the family: 7SK was discovered as an abundant small nuclear RNA in the mid-70s but a possible function has only recently been suggested. Two independent studies have found that 7SK RNA binds the CDK9/cyclin T complex (known as elongation factor P-TEFb). P-TEFb activates transcription by phosphorylating the C-terminal domain of RNA polymerase II.
Source: Ensembl